UACGUAGGUCCCGAGCGUUGUCCGGAUUUAUUGGGCGUAAAGCGAGCGCAGGUGGUUUAUUAAGUCUGGUGUAAAAGGCAGUGGCUCAACCAUGUAUGCAUUGGAAACUGGUAGACUUGAGUGCAGGAGAGGAGAGUGGAAUUCCAUGUGUAGCGGUGAAAUGCGUAGAUAUAUGGAGGAACACCGGUGGCGAAAGCGGCUCUCUGGCCUGUAACUGACACUGAGGCUCGAAAGCGUGGGGAGCAAACAGG
Molecule: ribosomal RNA, 251 nt
Filed under: uncultured bacterium
Lineage: Bacteria
Description: partial 16S ribosomal RNA
Rfam family: Bacterial small subunit ribosomal RNA
Source: RNAcentral